GUGGCGAACGGGUGAGUAACGCGUAAGAACCUGCCCUUGGGAGGGGAACAACAACUGGAAACGGUUGCUAAUACCCCGUAGGCUGAGGAGCAAAAGGAGAAAUCCGCCCAAGGAGGGGCUCGCGUCUGAUUAGCUAGUUGGUGAGGCAAUAGCUUACCAAGGCGAUGAUCAGUAGCUGGUCCGAGAGGAUGAUCAGCCACACUGGGACUGAGACACGGCCCAGACUCCUACGGGAGGCAGCAGUGGGGAAUUUUCCGCAAUGGGCGAAGGCCUGACGGAGCAAUGCCGCGUGGAGGUGGAAGGCCUACGGGUCGUCAACUUCUUUUCUCGGAGAAGAAACAAUGACGGUAUCUGAGGAAUAAGCAUCGGCUAACUCUGUGCCAGCAGCCGCGGUAAU
Molecule: ribosomal RNA, 397 nt
Filed under: uncultured eukaryote
Lineage: Eukaryota
Description: bacterial SSU rRNA
Rfam family: Bacterial small subunit ribosomal RNA
Source: RNAcentral